GACGAACGCUGGCGGCGUGCUUAACACAUGCAAGUCGAACGGAAAGGCCCUGCUUUUGCGGGGUGCUCGAGUGGCGAACGGGUGAGUAACACGUGAGUAACCUGCCCUUGACUUUGGGAUAACUUCAGGAAACUGGGGCUAAUACCGGAUAGGAGCUCCUGCUGCGUGGUGGGGGUUGGAAAGUUUCGGCGGUUGGGGAUGGACUCGCGGCUUAUCAGCUUGUUGGUGGGGUAGUGGCUUACCAAGGCUUUGACGGGUAGCCGGCCUGAGAGGGUGACCGGCCACAUUGGGACUGAGAUACGGCCCAGACUCCUACGGGAGGCAGCAGUGGGGAAUAUUGCACAAUGGGCGGAAGCCUGAUGCAGCAACGCCGCGUGCGGGAUGACGGCCUUCGGGUUGUAAACCGCUUUCGCCUGUGACGAAGCGUGAGUGACGGUAAUGGGUAAAGAAGCACCGGCUAACUACGUGCCAGCAGCCGCGGUGAUACGUAGGGUGCGAGCGUUGUCCGGAUUUAUUGGGCGUAAAGGGCUCGUAGGUGGUUGAUCGCGUCGGAAGUGUAAUCUUGGGGCUUAACCCUGAGCGUGCUUUCGAUACGGGUUGACUUGAGGAAGGUAGGGGAGAAUGGAAUUCCUGGUGGAGCGGUGGAAUGCGCAGAUAUCAGGAGGAACACCAGUGGCGAAGGCGGUUCUCUGGGCCUUUCCUGACGCUGAGGAGCGAAAGCGUGGGGAGCGAACAGGCUUAGAUACCCUGGUAGUCCACGCUGUAAACGGUGGGUACUAGGUGUGGGGUCCAUUCCACGGGUUCCGUGCCGUAGCUAACGCUUUAAGUACCCCGCCUGGGGAGUACGGCCGCAAGGCUAAAACUCAAAGGAAUUGACGGGGCCCCGCACAAGCGGCGGAGCAUGCGGAUUAAUUCGAUGCAACGCGUAGAACCUUACCUGGGUUUGACAUGGAUCGGGAGCGCUCAGAGAUGGGUGUGCCUCUUUUGGGGUCGGUUCACAGGUGGUGCAUGGCUGUCGUCAGCUCGUGUCGUGAGAUGUUGGGUUAAGUCCCGCAACGAGCGCAACCCUUGUUCACUGUUGCCAGCACGUUAUGGUGGGGACUCAGUGGAGACCGCCGGGGUCAACUCGGAGGAAGGUGGGGAUGACGUCAAGUCAUCAUGCCCCUUAUGUCCAGGGCUUCACGCAUGCUACAAUGGCUGGUACAGAGAGUGGCGAGCCUGUGAGGGUGAGCGAAUCUCGGAAAGCCGGUCUCAGUUCGGAUUGGGGUCUGCAACUCGACCUCAUGAAGUCGGAGUCGCUAGUAAUCGCAGAUCAGCAACGCUGCGGUGAAUACGUUCCCGGGGCU
RNAcentral lists this ribosomal RNA (1346 nucleotides) under uncultured bacterium. RNAcentral's name for it is "bacterial SSU rRNA". It matches the Rfam family "Bacterial small subunit ribosomal RNA", at positions 28 to 1381 of the family's 1533-position model. The record is from RNAcentral.